AGAGUUUGAUCAUGGCUCAGGAUGAACGCUAGCUACAGGCUUAACACAUGCAAGUCGAGGGGAAACGACAUCGAAAGCUUGCUUUUGAUGGGCGUCGACCGGCGCACGGGUGAGUAACGCGUAUCCAACCUGCCCAUCACUUGGGGAUAACCUUGCGAAAGUAAGACUAAUACCCAAUGACGUCUCUAGAAGACAUCUGAAAGAGAUUAAAGAUUUAUCGGUGAUGGAUGGGGAUGCGUCUGAUUAGCUUGUUGGCGGGGUAACGGCCACAGGCGACGAUCAGUAGGGGUUCUGAGAGGAAGGUCCCCCANAUUGGAACUGAGCACGGUCCAAACUCAUACGGGAGGCA
This 349-nucleotide ribosomal RNA is filed under the name uncultured bacterium. RNAcentral's name for it is "bacterial SSU rRNA". It matches the Rfam family "Bacterial small subunit ribosomal RNA", at positions 8 to 350 of the family's 1533-position model. The record is from RNAcentral.